GUGGCUGUAGCUCAAUGGCAGAGCAUCUGUUUGUGGAACAGAUGGUUGUGGGUUCGAUCCCCAUCAGCCACCCCA
Molecule: transfer RNA, 75 nt
Filed under: Patescibacteria group bacterium
Lineage: Bacteria
Description: tRNA-His
Rfam family: tRNA
About the family: Transfer RNA (tRNA) molecules are approximately 80 nucleotides in length.
Source: RNAcentral